CCUACGGGUAGCUGCAGUCGAGAAUCUUCGGCAAUGGGCGCAAGCCUGACCGAGCGAUGCCGCGUGCGGGAUGAAGGCCUUCGGGUUGUAAACCGCUGUCGUAGGGGAAUAUGAUCCUAGGAGGAAGGACGGGCUAAGUUCGUGCCAGCAGCCGCGGUAAGACGAACCGUCCGAACGUUAUUCGGAAUCACUGGGCUUACAGAGUUCGUAGGCGGUCCGGCAAGUUAGAUGUGAAAUCCCUUGGCUUAACCAAGGAACUGCGUUUGAAACUGCCGGACUCGAGGGAGAUAGAGGAAAGCGGAACUGAUGGUGGAGCGGUGAAAUGCGUUGAUAUCAUCAGGAACACCGGUGGCGAAGGCGGCUUUCUGGGUCUUCUGACGCUGAGGAACGAAAGCUAGGGGAGCGAACGGGAUUAGAUACCCUUGUAGUC
RNAcentral lists this ribosomal RNA (430 nucleotides) under uncultured bacterium. RNAcentral's name for it is "partial 16S ribosomal RNA". It matches the Rfam family "Bacterial small subunit ribosomal RNA", at positions 338 to 795 of the family's 1533-position model. The record is from RNAcentral.